RNAcentral lists this non-coding RNA (27 nucleotides) under Homo sapiens (human). Lineage: Eukaryota; Metazoa; Chordata; Mammalia; Primates; Hominidae. The record is from RNAcentral.
ACAGUGAUUGCCUGGGACUUCCACAAA